UCAUUGUUGCACUAUAUGCUAAAUAAUUUGGAUGUAAAUUUAAAAACAAAAUUAAAAAUUUUUAAAAGAGUACUAUAGAUAAAAAGAGUCAUGCAUAAUAAUAUUGACAAUGGAAAGCAAACAUGAAUUGAUUUUUUAAAAUUUUAUUGAUUUAAGUAACCUCUACAUCCAGUGUGGACCUUGAAUUCAUAACCCCAAGAUUGGGAGUUGCAUUCUCCCUGAACUGAGCCCCCCAAGUGCCCCCAUGAAUUGAUAUUUUAAUUAGAAUUUUGUUUUGCUUACGUUUUGGAUUAAGAAAGAGAUGUGGUCAGUUAAUGAUUCUAUUCUGUUGUUUUAUUGCAAACAAGACUGAGAAAGGGAACAAGUAUUUCCACACUGGAUUCUUCUUGAAUGAAUUCAAGCGAAGUUUCAUCAAAAUGAAAAACUGCCAAGUAGCUUUGCAUUUGGUAAAGGUGUGAGAUUGCAUCCACAGAGGUGCUGAUUUGCUCCUCCUCCAGAAGGACCAGCCCUUUGAAUGUGCAGUGCUGGCCUCAGGGGGAGUGUCUGCACAUGUCUGUUAAGUCCCAGGGACUUGAGGGGUUUUGUCAGAAGCUUAUACUAAACACUAUUUUUUCCCACCGGAUUCUAGGUAGAGAAACUAUGACAUCCAGUGUAGAUGACUAGAUCAUUUCUGAAAAGUUUUUAAAAAUAUUUAUUUAUUUUUGAAAGAGAGAGAACAUGAGUUGUAGAGGAGCAGAGAGAGGGAGACACAGAAUAUGAAGCAGGCUCCAAGCUCCGAGCUGUUGGCACAGAGCCCGACACAGGGCUCGAACCCACGAACCAUAAGGUCAUGAUCUGAGCCAAAGUCAGAUACUUAAACCGACUGAGCCACCCAGGCACCCCAUAGAUCAUUUCUAACUGACAGUCUACAAGCCUAACAUUGUGAGCCAGCUCCCAGCUGUGCAGCUCUUCUCGACAUUUCCUUCUGUGAAGAACCCUGUGUUCUCGUGUUUGCCCUGUAGUGUUCUUGACACUUGUGACUUGCCAGAAUCUUUACCCUACCUUGCAGCUCUGUUUUUGGUGGGCGCCUUUAUCUCCUCAGGCCUCAAGGUCCUCCUCUCCAGAUGAGGGAUAGGAUCUAUGACCUAUUCCAACCUCUUCUUCCAUCUCUAGAAUAUUCAGUACAUUAAGAGAAGGACUGAGUUAAGAACCAAUGCCUUUAAAGAAACUGGGAAGUUUCUCUCAUCUGAGGGCUAAGGGGCACUUGGCAAUCACUUAUUGUUGUCUCAAAAUUUUGUGAACUUUCCUUAAACAUACACUUAUGUUCUAGCCUUUCUUCUAGCUAUUGACUCCAGAGAAAUAAAAACAUGUCCAAAGACUUGCACAUGAAUCUUUAGGUUAAUAUUAUCUAUUCACUUUUUUAUUGAAGUACAGUUAACACAACUACAUUACUUUCAGUUGUACAACAUAGUGAUUCAACAAGUCUGUACGUCAAUGCUGUGCUCACCCCAAGUGUAUCCAGCAUAUGUCACCACGCCAUUACAGUAUCAUCGACUACAUUCCCUAUGCUGUGCCAUUUGCUCUCGUGACUUAUUUCAUAGCUGGAAGCCUGUAUCUCCCACUUCCCUUCAUCCAUUUUCUUCAUCCCUCACCCUCACCUUCUGGCUACUACUCAGUUUAUUCUGUUUUUAUGGGUUUGUUUCUGCUUUUUGUUCAUUUGUGUUUUAGAGUCCAUAUAUAAGUGAAAUCAUACAGUAUUUUACUUUGACUUAUUUCAUUUAGUAUAAUACCCCCGAGGUCCGUCCAUGUUGUCUCAAAUGGCAAGAUCUCAUCCUUUGUUAUGGCUGCAUAAUAUUCUAUUGCGUGUAUGUGAAUGAGUGUGUGUGUGUGUGUGUGUGUGUGUGUGUGCCAUAUCUUUAUCCAUUCAUCUAUUGGUGGACACUUGGGUUGCUUCCAUGUGGGUUGGAUAUAGUAAAUGUUGCAAUGAUAGGGUGCAUAUAUCUUUUCAGAUUAGUGUUAUUGUAGUCUUUGGGUAAAUACCUCAGUGGAAUUACUGGAUCAUGGGUAUUUCCAUUUUUAAUUUCUUGAGGAACCUCCAUACCGUCUUCCACAGUGGCUGCACCAACUUACAUUCCCACCAACAGUGCACAGGGGUUCCUUUUCCUCCUCUUUCUUGCCAACACUUGCUGUUUCUUGUGUUUUUGAUUUUAGCCAUUCUGAAAGUGUGAAGUGAUAACAUAUUAGGGUUUUCGUUUGUAUUUCCUUGAUGAUUACUGAUGUUGGACAUGUUUUUCAUGUGUCUGUUGGCCAUCUGUAUAUCUUCUUUAGAAAAAUGUGUAUUCAGGUCCUUUGCCCAUUUUUAAUUGAAUUAUUUGGGGCAAGGGGGUUAGUGUUGAGUUGUGUAAGUUCUUUAUAUAUUUUGGAUGUUAAUUCUUUAUCAGAUAUGUCAUUUGCAAAUAUUUUCUCCCAUUCAGUAUGUUAUGUUUUCAUUUUGUUGAUGGUUUCCUUCGCUGAACUUGCGCAUGAAUAUUUACUCACAAUAGCCCCAAACUGGAAACAACCUAAAUGCCCAUUAACAGAUGAAUGAAUAAACAACAUGUAGUGUAUCCAUACAAUAUACUACUAUUUCGCAAUAAAAAGGAACAAACUACUGAUACAUGCAACAUGAAUGAAUCUCAUUCUGCUGAAUGAAAGAAGCCAGACACAAGAAUACAGGCUGUAUGAGUCCAUUUAUGUAAAAUUCUAGAGAAUGCAAACUAUUAUAGUGACAAAAAGCAUUUCACUUGCUGCCUGUGGACUGCAGAAGACAAGGGCUCUUUUGGUGGUGAACGAGAUGUUCUGUGCUGUGACUAGCAUGGUAGUUUCAUGGGUAUCCACAACUGCCAACAUUCAUCAAAUUGCACACUUUAAACGGACAGAACUUAUAUGUAAAGCAUUUCUCGAGGGUACUGAGGAAAAAUUUUUGUAAGCUCUUGACUGUUAAAUCUGAGGCUUGAAGAAAAUACUGGGCAACGGAGAAGUUUUGCGGGGCUAUGACAUCACAAAAGGGUUAAUAAUCUUAAACAUUCCGGAAAGCCCUUUAAUUUCUGGGCAGCGCAUAUGAAUUUGUCGUGCAAAAAUUUUACCUUCUGGUUUCCAGUGAGCCUCAGACAAAGGACUGCCUUGAGGACUUAGCAGGCCCCUGGGCUGGAUGAGCCAGCCUGCUCUUUCUCCAGCCUCGUGCAGAUUCCUGAGAGCCAGCUGGCUCAGCAAACAAAGGCCAGGUCUCCUGUCUUUUUAGCAUGUCAGGCUUCUUAAUACCGAUUUUCCUUCCCUCUGCCUGAGGUGGUAUGUGUUCACCUGGGGAGAUUCCGUUCCACUUUUUUGAAACUAGAAAGCUGUAGGCCACAUUCUUCCUUUAUAGGCCACCUGGAGCGACCUAUUUUAGUUGGCUCCACUUACAGAGUCACAGGAUGUGAGAAAUCACAGGAUGUUAGAAAGAACUUGAGAGAUCGUCCUGGCCAACAUCCCAAAGGAGGAAACGGAAGUCCAGAGAAGAUUCCCCAGAAUAGAAGUUGCAGAAUUUGGCAGAAUGAUUAGGGUGGAAACUUCAGGAAGAAGACUUCGGGUUGUUAGAGAGAAGUUCCCCACUCCCUAAGCUGAAGAAGAAGCAUCCGCACGCCCUGCUUCCACCCGGGGACUCCCAGAUUGCCACACAAUAACACCUCCCAGAGGUGUCGGCAGUGGUGAGACCCGCCCUUCCCAGAGAUACUGUUUUCUGUGCCACUUUGUCUUGCCCUGGUGGUCACGCUGUGUUGUGGCUGCAGCGAAAACCUUUUGUGUGUCAGACAUGAUGGGCAGCGUGGACAAGUCACACUGGUGCCCAACACCUCCCACCACUGAGCACUGUGAGGGCAGAGACUUGGUCUUCUUUGCAACCUAUCUCUACCCCCUCACGUUGAGGAUACCUGUAUACCCACAAGGACAUACAUCAGUGUGCAGCAAAUCUUGCUGAAUGACAGACAAAGUGACAUGUUGAGCAAGUGGAUGAUGAAAGUUUCUGACCUUAAAUGUGGACUAAUCAGGUAAGUGUACUAGUGAUACAAGAAAUCACGGAAGACGCUGUGGGAGAAGAACUGAAACUUCUUCUAGAAAAUCCAUUAAUGACCAGAAUAGAUCUCUGGCUUUUUUCAUGUGUGUUAGAUAACAACCAUGGAGAAUUGAGAUUCCUCCAUUGUGGCUUCUGCCCUGCCUGCUCCACCAAAAUCGCUCUCUCCAAGCUAACCGGGGACCUUCAGCUUGCCACACCGGGGGGCAUUUCUGCCUCUUCUUACUGGCACGCUCCUCACGGGACCAGCUGAGCAUCCGUCUCUUGUACAUGAAAGAAAAUCCAACUGAUUGUAGCGAGAAGAGUAAGUUUAUUGUAAUGUUUUUCAUUUUUAAAAGACUAUUUUUUUUUCAUGGUUAUUUAUUUUGAGACAGAGAAAAAGCAUGAGCAGAAGACAGGCAGAGAGAGAGAGAGGGAGAGAGAGAAUCCCAAGCAGGCUCCAGGCUCCAAGCUGCCAGCGCAGAGCCCAACGCGGAGCUCAAACUCAAGUACCGUGAGAUCGUGAUCUGAGCUAAAAUCAAGAGUUGGAUGUUUAAUCAACUGAGCCACCCAGCCUCCCCUCUUGUACUGUUUUUUUAAAUAAUUUUCUCCUCUCUGCUUUUUUCUACUCCCCAACGUCAGUCAGAUAUUGGAUUAGCUGAAUUAACCCUAACUAUAUUCUCUGUUGUUCAUCUCUUUAGCUGUUUAUUUGGCUCAAUGAGUUCCUGGCCUCUAGCUUUUAAACCUUGCAUUGAAUUUGUCAUAUCACCUGUCACGGUUUUUGUUUGUGUUGUUCGUUGUUCUCAGAAUAUUCCUUUUUAUUGCAACACAUUCUUAUUUCAUGGGUGUAGUAUUUCACCUUUUCCCGAUAGAAGUAACUUUUUCCCCCUAGUCUCUGAAUUGUCUAUUUUCCAAAAGUUACUUUCCUUAGUUUGUUUUGGUCUCUCUCCAUUGUGUGGAGAUGUUCUGAAACUGCCUCUCCAAUUCUAAGCAGUGUGUUCACAUUCUACAGCGAAACCCUGGGGCGCUGGGUGAGGGAUGUGGGGUGGAGCAGGCUGGCUGGUGGCUUUGGGGGGACAUUGACCGGUCGGAGGCCAGCUUUGUCAUCUGGUGACCCUCCUCCCAUCCCCACAUACAGAUAUCAACAUGGGGUGGUCUUUUCUCUGCAGCCUUUUAGUUCCUCCAGAGAAGGAUCUUCCAGAUGCCUCUGGCGGCCAUAGAUGGCCAGCUGAGGCCCAUCUCCGAACCAGGCAGGAGAAAGCAGCCAGGGGCCACCUGGUUCUGAAGGAUUGUAUUCCCACAGAACAUCAGAAAAUAGAAAUUCUGCAUUUUUCAGUGACACCCAAUUUGCUCUACAAAAAGUAAAGCAUGAAGCUCCUCUAGUCAGAGUUACUGCUUCAUUUGUCGUGGAUGACCACAUCGGAAUCUACAGGGUGACUUGAAUCUUCAGGCACAAAGUGAACAUCCUGUUUCAGAAAACUCUGUUGCACACUCAUCACCUGGUAAAGUCACUAGACUUCCACAAUAAACAAAGACUGAAUAUUCAGGCAGAAGAUGGGUUGAGGGAAGGGAGACCUCACGCCUCUCGACAGCAACAACAUUCAAUGUUUCCAGAAGUUUGACAGAGAGAAAAUAUGGCACUGUGACCUAGACAAACUGUUUCUGACUUAGAAAGGAAAUGGACAAGAAUUCCCAAAAUAUGCCAGAACACAGUAUGAUGACCAUGAAACGUUCCGGAAGUAGUACCUGCAUGAACGUUAACUAACUCCAAGAAAAAUCAAAAUAAAGUCAGGAAUAGAAAAGUUGUGAUAAUCUAUUUUGGUAUUGAUUUUUUUUUUCACGUUUUCCUGUAUUGCUUUAAUCUUUUAUAAUGAUGAUGCAUUAUCUCUUUAUAAACACAAUGAGGUUUCUUUUUAAAAACGUAUAGGAAUGGUAGAGAAGCACUUUUGCAAGCCAGUAAUUAAAACUGCUCAUAAUCGAAGGAUUUUUAAAG
Long non-coding RNA from Neofelis nebulosa (Clouded leopard), 6038 nucleotides. RefSeq lists it as uncharacterized. The transcript is spliced from 5 exons. NCBI's taxonomy places the organism in Eukaryota, Metazoa, Chordata, Mammalia, Carnivora, Felidae. The record is from RefSeq and is a predicted model, not a curated record.